RNAcentral lists this ribosomal RNA (253 nucleotides) under uncultured bacterium. RNAcentral describes it as "partial 16S ribosomal RNA". It matches the Rfam family "Bacterial small subunit ribosomal RNA", at positions 524 to 776 of the family's 1533-position model. The record is from RNAcentral.
UACGUAGGGUGCGAGCGUUGUCCGGAUUUAUUGGGCGUAAAGAGCUCGUAGGCGGCUUGUCGCGUCGGAUGUGAAAGCCCGGGGCUUAACUCCGGGUCUGCAUUCGAUACGGGCAGGCUAGAGUGUGGUAGGGGAGAUCGGAAUUCCUGGUGUAGCGGUGAAAUGCGCAGAUAUCAGGAGGAACACCGGUGGCGAAGGCGGUUCUCUGGGCCUGUACUGACGCUGAGGAGCGAAAGCGUGGGGAGCGAACAGG